GAACAAGUACCGUGAGGGAAAGACGAAAAGAACUUUGGAAAGAGAGUUAAACAGUACGUGAAAUUGCUGAAAGGGAAACGCUUGAUGUCAGUCGCGUCCGCCAGGGAUCAACCUAGCUUGAUUGCUUGGUGCAUUUCUUGGUCGGACGGGUCAGCAUCGGUUUCGAUCGGGGUAUAAUGGCGGAGGGAAUGUGGCACCUCUAGGGGUGUGUUAUAGACUUUCGUCGUAUGCUUGGGUGGGGACCGAGGAACUCGACACGGACUUUCGAUAGUCUUGUGUCUAGGAUGCUGGCAUAAUGGCCUUAAGCGACCCGUCUUGAAACACGGACCAAGGAGUCUAACAUGCCUGCGAGUGUUCGAGUGAAUAAACUCGUGCGCGCAACGAAAGUGAAAGUCGAGAUCUCUGUCAUGGAGAGCAUCGACGCCCGGACCAGAGUCUACUGACGAAGGAUCUGCGGUAGAGC
This 463-nucleotide ribosomal RNA is filed under the name Phylloporus grossus. RNAcentral's name for it is "partial large subunit ribosomal RNA". It matches the Rfam family "Eukaryotic large subunit ribosomal RNA", at positions 342 to 801 of the family's 3401-position model. The record is from RNAcentral. Lineage: Eukaryota; Fungi; Basidiomycota; Agaricomycetes; Boletales; Boletaceae.